RNAcentral lists this unclassified non-coding RNA (1280 nucleotides) under Rhizobium leguminosarum. RNAcentral's name for it is "partial contains 16S-23S ribosomal RNA intergenic spacer and 23S ribosomal RNA". The stretch from base 334 to 407 matches the Rfam family "tRNA". Lineage: Bacteria; Pseudomonadati; Pseudomonadota; Alphaproteobacteria; Hyphomicrobiales; Rhizobiaceae. The record is from RNAcentral.
CUGUGGAACUGGUAAGACGACCUUCCGGCAAGUCUUUGACUUGUCUCGAGGUAUGAACCUUCCCGUGCUUUUUAGAACAUAGAUGGCACCAGUCAGGUGACUAUCGAAACGUAAUACGCCGCGAUGACUUCGGUCACGACGGUAUGGCGAGCUUUCGCCGUCCACGUUUCUCUUUCUUCAAAAGGAUAUCGAACCAUGGGUUUGCGCUCGCGCGCUGUUUGCACCUUCGGUGCUGCGCUCCGCGAGGGCGCCGGACGACCGGCGACGGCCUCUGGCCUGUAUGGGCGGCUCUUUCUGAGGUUUUGCUCAGGUUAGGCGUCAACGCAGAGAGAUGGGCCCGUAGCUCAGUUGGUUAGAGCACACGCUUGAUAAGCGUGGGGUCGGAAGUUCAAGUCUUCCCGGGCCCACCAUUUGCACCGGCAAAUGAGGUUUGCUGUAGCGAAUUGUGGUUUGUUUGGGUUUACCUGAUCCUGGCGGUUUGCUGUCAGGUGUUUGCGAUGGUUGGGGCUGUAGCUCAGCUGGGAGAGCACCUGCUUUGCAAGCAGGGGGUCAGCGGUUCGAUCCCGCUCAGCUCCACCAAUUCGCUUGGUGUCGAGACUGAGAGAUAUCCUUUGAAGAAAUAAAAGUUUUGCACCGGCUUCGAGCUGUUGCGUGUUCUGCAUACAUUGUGAAGAGAAGAUUGAUCUGGAGGCUUCCAGGUGUUGUGGGUUUUGCCCAUGAUGUCCGAGCCCAGUUCCUGUGAAACCAUGGAUGGCCUAGCCGGCCGGAUGUGGUGGAGGGAUUGGAGGUAGGUAGGAAGCUUGUCGCUCUGGAUCGUCCAGCGUAAACCGCGUAGCGGUUUAUCGCGUGUUGUUCGUUGCCUUUGGGCAUCGUCUGACGGACGAUCGGAUUACCGUUGCCUGACCGCGCGGUAUCGGAUCCAAUCUCGAGAAGCUGGUCUUAAGACAGGCUGCAAGCGAGCUGCUCGGCGUAGCUCCAAUAAAGCAGACCUGUCGAACACGUUAAUGGCAUUGUUAGAAAGCGUGAUUGUAAAAGGUAAUCACGCAUGUUUGGCCCGACUGCACGGCAAUCGCAAGGUUGUCCGGAUGGUCGGAUUUGGCACCCCGCGAGGCGAAAGCGAAGCGGACAAGGUCUGCCAAAUCAAACAAAGACGAUGAGCAUUGGCAAUGAGAACGAUUAAGUGUCGUAAGGGCAUUUGGUGGAUGCCUUGGCAUGCACAGGCGAUGAAGGACGUGAUACGCUGCGAAAAGCCGUGGGGAGCUGCGAAUGAGCUUUGAUCC